Molecule: unclassified non-coding RNA, 553 nt
Filed under: Hevea brasiliensis (rubber tree)
Lineage: Eukaryota; Viridiplantae; Streptophyta; Magnoliopsida; Malpighiales; Euphorbiaceae
Source: RNAcentral
AAUGGACAAAAUCCCCCCAAAAGAAAAAUUGCUAAUAAUGCCAAUCAAGAAUUACCAAUUUACAAGAGCAAAAACAGAAAUGUCGACACCACUCUUCUGCUGAAUCCUUAAUUUAAGUAAUCCAUGGAGUGCCAUAUUCGUUGCCAAAUCCGCUGUUCAAAGAAUCUCAAUCUGUAUGACUCUAGCUAUAUAAAAACAUGCUCCACCAGCUAACAAUAAUUAGUCAAAGAAAUUGAAGCAACAACAGAUUCAUCAAAUGGAAUUGUGUCUUCAAAAUCCAGAAUGUGCUUUCAACAAUUGCCUUCUCUUGAUUAUUAAAAACGCCACAACACAGACCUGCAAGAUCGCGGCAAUGCCAACAAACAUUAACCCAAGUCUCUUCCCCCAAUUUAGCUUCGUUUCCUUUUGUGGUGGGCUUAAUUUAACAUUAGACUUAUGGUGGUCUUGAGGGUGGUGUGAAUGUUCCUUUUCUGAGGUUUUAAUCUUGGGAGGAGGUGGCGGAGGGGCUCUUUGAUUGGGUGGAGGAGGUGGCGGAGGGGCUCUUUGAUUGGGU